Molecule: long non-coding RNA, 10832 nt
Filed under: Nicotiana tabacum (common tobacco)
Lineage: Eukaryota; Viridiplantae; Streptophyta; Magnoliopsida; Solanales; Solanaceae
Description: long non-coding RNA (NTAB_LNC007192)
Source: RNAcentral
CCUUAAAACAACGAGUUUGAACUUUGAUUGUUUGAUGGCUCUAAGACUCAAAAACGAACGGGACCGCGAACAAGAUCUAAAUCCGAAAACCUCACCGGAAACCUCGUCGAACUCAGACCGGAUUGCCUCGCUACCUCCCUUUACUCAGAUCUGAGCGUCCAAGACUUUAAACUCACUAAAAUUCGACCUUUAAUGGCAGUACCUUUUGUCGAUCGAAAGUAUUUUGAAGAUAAGAGUGGAAUCGAAGUUCUGACGUGAAGUUAACAAUGGGAAGCUAAUGGAGCUAUGGAGGUUGCAUAAUAGUUUUAAUGGCUAUUUUCUGUGGAGAUCGAGUGUAGUUAGGCAGCAGCUCUUCUGAUACUAGGCAUGCUCUGUUUUCUCUCCGUCCUCCUCCCUCUCGUCACUCUCUCUGUCCGUUCCUCCGUAUAUCUCUUACACUAUUUUGUUUCUGAUUUUACCAUCCUCUUCUUCUUUUUUUGAGAAGAAGGGGUGUCAGGUGCGGUUCUCCUUCAGCUAUGUGUGUGUGUGCGUGUUUUCCGGCGGAUUUUGGUGGAAAGGGGCUGGUUUUCGGUGGACUUUGGUGGCAGUCGGCGUGGUCAAGGGAGGUGGGGGUGCGGCUCUUGUUUUUGGGGUCAGGCCUGGGCGUCGGCAGUAGGUAGGUAAGGGCGAAGGCGGCAUAGACGGAAUGGAGAUGAGGUGGGAUGGUUGUUGGCUUUUCCAGGGUUCCUAGGUUUUGAUGAUAUUAGCUUUAUAUAUGGUAUGAAGGAAAUAUCUUGGCUAUUGGAUUAAACGGAUGGAAGGCCAAGAUUGAAUCACUUAAACUGAUGGGUCCAAUGGAUUUGAUGGGCGUGGGUCGCGGGUCAUGGGUUAAAAAUGGUUUGAGGGAUUGGGCUGGUUUAAUUGGGUAAGGGAUCCGAAUUGGGCUAUCUCAAGGUUGGGCUUUUAAAAUGAUGAAAUUCAUUAACUAAAAACCUAAGUUUUCCUUCUUUAAUAUAAAGUAUUUAUAAAAAUGUAAGACCACUCCUGGUUGAUUUUAAUAAACUAUUAAAAUAAAAAUAAAAAUUAAAAGCAAAACUAUUUUUGGUAUUUUCAAAGAUUAAACUAAAAUAAGGCUAAAUUAGUAUCACCAUAAAAAUACUAACUACUUAAAUAAAUACAAAUAAGAUAAAGAGUGAAACUAUUUUUUUGUUUUUAAUUUUUUAAAUGCUAAAACAACAAAAUAAAAUAUUAUAUAUACAUAUUAAAAUCCUACAAAAUUUAAUAUAAACUCAAAUAUAUAUGUAUAAAAUAUUCGACUGGCUUGAGAACGUGGCGGGUCAAAAAUUAUGUGCUUACAGCUGCCCCUCUUUGCUUGGAAACACGAAGUAUUUUUGAGCAAAGAAAUAAGCAAUGUAAUUGAUUUCUGACCCGACACUUAUUCGAAAGAAAAUAAAAAUGGAUAAAAAGAUUGUGCCCGAGCCCUGGUAUCUGAGCUGCCUACAUAUCCUCAGCUAUAAAGGAAUCAGGCCAUGUGUAGUUCAGAAGUGAUGGAGUAUGUGGAGAGGAUGAGAGAGCCGAGUGAGGUACCGUCGAGGUUCCGGUCCGCGGUUCCUGCCAUUACAUCAAAAAUAAAAAAUCAAAUAAAAAUUACAUGGAAACCACUAAAUCUUAUCUAUUGUUCUGUCUUGAAUCUUUUAUAGUCUUGUUGUGCAUCUCGAACUGUUGACUCGCAUUCUUGAGGCGAACUUCAGCUACUUUUAACAUGAAUUGACCAUAUUCUUCAGGCGGGCUCCUGUUGUUGACUUGAAGCUUGAACUAACUCUGAAAUGAACUCCCUCGUUCUUCAGGUGAGCGUCUGCUACUGACUUAAAAAUUGAAAUAACUCUGAGAUGAAUUCCCUCAUUCUCCAGGUGGACGCCUACUACUGACUUGAAAUUUGAAGUAACUCUGAAAUGAAUUCCCUCGUUCUUCAGGCGGGCUCCUGCUAUUGACUUGAAGCUUGAACUAACUCUGAAAUGAAUUCUCUCAUUCUCCAGGUGGGCGCCUGCUACUGACUUGAAAUUUGAAGUAACUCUUAAACAAAUUCCCUCGUUCUCCAGGGGGCGCCUGCUACUUCUCUGAAUUUAACCUGAAACCAAUUUCUGAGAUAUUGACCCUCGUUCUCCAGGUAGGUACCUGCAAUCGAAAACAACAAAACAAAUAAAAUUUUCUGCCCCAGUUUGCACUAGGAAGAUUUUUGAGUUGUCAGCAAAACUGUAAAUCACCUAUGCUAUUGAUGCAAUGAUGAGAGUAAAACUAAAGACUAGGCUAGGAUGUGCGUCUCCUGUGAGUAAAACCAAGAAAAUGUGACUAGCAAAUGCAUCUGCUAAGAGAAAACCUGAAUGACCCGAACUAGGAAGUGCGUCUCCUAUGAGUGAAAUCUCAAUUUAGGAAAUGCGUCUCCUAAAAGUAUAUCCUGAAAGACCCAAAUUAGGAAGUGCGUCUCCUACGGUUGAAACUUGAAUGAACCAACCUAGGAAGUGCGUCUCCAAGGGGUGAAACAUGAAUGAAUCAAAAUAGGAAGUGCGUCUCCUAGGGGUAAAAUUUGAAUGAACCAAACUAGGAAGUGCGUCUCCUAGGGAUGAACUUAAAUAACCUAAACUAGGAAGUGCGUCUCCUAGGGGUGAAAUCUCAAUUUAGGAACUAGGAAAUGCGUCUCCUAGAGAUAAAACUUGAAUGACCCAAACUAGGAAGCGCAUCUCCUAGGGGUGAAACCUUUUAACACAAAAUUAGGAAGUGCAUCUCCUAAAAAGCAUGGCCUGAAAGAUUUAAACUGACCCUAUUCUCCAGGCGGGACCCCUGAACUCAAGGAAAACUAAUGAUUACCAACCUAACGAAAUUGAAAACUGACCCUAUUCUCCAGACGGGACCCUUGAACUUUAAGAAAGCUAAAGAUUAACAACUUAAAAAUUAAAAACUAACCCUAUUCUCCAGGCGGGACUCUUGAAAUCAAGGAAAGCCAAAGAUUCCUCUCAACUAGGGAAAAUGCCUAGGAGGUGUGAUCUUCUCAAUAGCCAUUGCGUAAGCAGAAUUGGGGGCAUUACACCUGAAAAAUUCAAGCUUCCAAGCUUUGGUAUGAACAUAGCCUUCAUCCAUGUUUCAGACAAAGAAAACUUGUGAGUUUAAAACAUGGUGGUUAGUUUGUGGCCUUGACUACGAGGGAGAUUUCUCUUGCACUUGUCACGAUCAACUUGGACUUCAACUUGGAAGACAGUGCUUGUUAUCGGCCGACCGCUUUUGCGGACAACCCUUAUCACAAGAAAUAUUCCUGAUUCGUUCAAGUCCAAUACCUUAUGCCUGAUGCAUUACACUCGUCUUCUAACAUUCACCAAAUCUUUGCAUUUUACAUCAAUCCUAAAGAACAUCUAUUAUCACCAACUCAGUGCACACACUAUUCUCCUGUGUCUUAUGCCAUUUUUAUGUGCUUGCCAGACUCUGCUUUAUGUGGUUAAAAGCUGGUAGCAGAUUUUGAAGUCAUUUCUCACUUGUUUCGACAAAAAUAGACUUAAAAGGGACUCAAACAAAACAAGAGGAACAAAUUAAGGAGAAAAACGAGAAGAGACGGUAUCUAACAAGAAAAGUUUUACCCAGGAAAAAGAACAAAGUAAAAAACUAAUCGGAUUUGAAGGCCAACUCCAUUGAUCAUGACAUGCAUUUUGGAUUAAGCGGUCUGAUCUGUCAAGCGAGUCUAAUCUUCAACUCUUGUUAUGCCACUAAUUUGUGAAAUUGUGCUUCAGCGCUCCAAUUGUCCUAUGUGAUCCACAAUCCUCAGUCGACUUGUAGUGCCCUGAAGGAUUUUCACCAUCAAGCCUCUCUCAUUUUGCUCUUUUUCUCAGCUCACCGUCGCCUUACAGUGCCCGUGAGGGUUUUCACCACUAAGACUCUCUCAUUUUAUCAUUUUCUCUCUUUGUGCUGAGAACAAGGUAUUACCCAUGAUGCAGGAAGAUCAUACUUUUACCACACACUUUCUUUGGCAUCCUCAAAGAUUGGUCGGAAGGUUUUUCUUUGGACCGUAAUGUAGGCCUUUGGAUAGGGUUAAAAAGAAAGGAUGGUAUAAAGGCUCAAAACAACUAAAAUGGAAGGGGUUUUAACUUACAACUUUUGGAAUCAGAUCUAUUUGUAAAACUAAAACAUCUGCCCCAGUUUCAUUGAGUCUAGGGAAUUUUUUUGGAUUUUUAUUUUGUUGGGACCUAACCUCAGAGUAAGGCUGCCUACGUAUCCUUAAAAGGAAUCAGGUCAAAUGUAGUUCUAACACAAAGUUGGUUUAUUUUGUUGUUUUUCUUUUCCUUUUCUUUCUUUUUCUUUUUUUUCCUUUUUUUUCUUUUCUCCUUUUUUUUCUCUUUUCUUUUCUUUUUCCUUUCUAGUUCCUAACUCUACUUCUGAUUCCAAAAAAGGGGUAUGAAACAAAACAAAUUAAGGCUCAAAAGGGAUAGCAAAAGAUAAAAGUGUUUGGAUAACAGAAUAAAAUGCCUUCGUCAUACCAAACUUUAAAAAUGCCAAGUACAAAUAUGCAAUCGAAGAUAAGCAAAGAAAUCAUACAUAGUAUCUAUUGAUGGCAUCAACACAAACAAAAAGUGCCAAUGAGCAAUACCUUUGUCCCAAUGAAUGAUCCUUGCUAGUUCGAAGCAGACUUGACUCAACCUUAUCUUGAUGUGGAAGAAUGCAUUUCAAUACUGAUUGAUCUACCUCAAACUACUUGUAAGACAUUUCCUUGUUGUAUGCUCUUAUCAACCUCUUGAUUUCUCACACCAACUGCCUCAAUUUCACUCAAUUCAAGCUUCAGGUUAUCUUAGAAUGCGUGAAUCUUUACUUGUUUCCUCAAAUGCAUCUUUUUAUCAUAUUCAAAACUGUGUUUCAUUAUUCCAUGAUUAGACUGGUUUUCAAGAUCUGGCUAAAAUCUCCGCAUGAAUGUCAUGUCACUAGAACUGGCGUGAAGAGAACUAAGCACAGAAUGACACAAAAGGACAAACUGUAUUUUAUUGAGUAAAGGAUGGAAGGGUUUAACGACAAGACAAACAACCUAAAAUCCGAGUCACAACCCUAAAAUAACCCGGAUAAUAGCAACAGAACAGACAGACAAGAUUCACACAAAUAGAGGGAUGGAAGGGUUUGACUCAAUAAAACAAAUAAAAUCUGGAUCACAACCCUGAAGUAACCCAGAUAAUAGAAAAAACAUCAAAACAAGCUACCCAGAUUCCUUCCUAGUAAGGAGGGAAUGACCUUUCAAUUGCUAAGCUUGACAUUUAGCCACAAAUUUGCUCAUCAUAAUCAUCAGGGCCUUCUCCCAUUUCAAAAUCAUUAACUUUAGUCAGCAAGUUCCCGAAAGGAUUCUCAUACUCCAUGUCACCACGCAUCAUCCCCACAAAGUGUGCAUCAUCAUGUGCAGGUAAAUGAUUCUACGCGAUAUUCUGGAUGUCACUGUCCUGGAUCACAAUUCUCUCUUCUUGAAUCAUUCUUUCUAUCUCCCUUUUCAAAGCACGACAAUCUUCAAUGCUAUUCCCUUGGACAUUAGAGUGGUACAUGCACCGUACAGCAGGAUCAAAACCUUUUGCAUAUGGGUCCGGAUUAUAGCCGAGGAGCCACCGUACAGCAGGAUAAAAACCUUUUGCAUAUGGGUCCGGAGUAUAGUCGAGGAGCGGCUCAAUCAGUCCAUAAUGUUUUAACUUUUCAAACAAGCUUGUGUAGGAUUCUCUGAUUGGCGUGAAACUAUUUCUUUGCCUUUGUUCCCCUCCAUGCCCCUAUUUUCUAGGGUUGUUGGAUGCUAAAAAAUGUUAUGAAGGCAAGAGUGUAUUAUGCAGUGCUGGCGCUCGCCAUAAGGAGUAACCCGGUGGUUGGACAGAUGACCGAACGUUGUUCGGAGGAUAAUACUAAGGUGGAUUAUAUGGAGCUCGGGGAUAGGUUUGGGGUUGGGGUUGGGGUCGGGGUCGAGGCUAAGUAUAUUGGUGAGGCAGACCCGUUGGGCCAUGUCGUGAUCCUGAGACAACCAUGGCAACAUCAUCAUAUUCCUCUGACCCAGCAAGCUCCUGUGUCGUUCUGAAUUGCUUGUGUGUGGCUUUAAAGCAGAUAGCUCAUGAUCUUGCUUGACUUUAGCCCAUAUUCUACCAUUUCUCCCAUUUUUACCACAUUAUUAAAAGGCUUACCCAUAGCCGAGAUCAAAUUCCCAAAGUAAGUAGGCUCUUGAGCUUGAAGAAAGUACUCGACCAUCUCGUCUUCUUCCAUCCGGGGAUUGACUCGGGCAGCUUGCUCUCUCCAUCUGAGCCCGUAUUCCCUAAAGCUUUCAUUAGGCUUCUUUUCCAUCUUUGUGAGGGACAUGCAAUCCAGGACAAUUUCUAUAUUGUACUGAAAGUGCCGGGCAAAGGCCUGAGCCAUAUCGUCCCAUGUGUACCAUCCGAUAGCGUCUUGGCAGGUGUACCACUCUAGAGCUGCCCUACUCAGACUCUGACUAAAAUACGCCAUUAAUAAUUUUUCCUUCCCGCCGGCGCCUCUCAUCUUACUGUAGUUGCCUCUCAAAUGGGCCACGGGAUCUCCAUAUACGUCAUACAAAUCAAACUUUGGUAUCUUAAACCCAGCAUGUAGUUGGACAUCAGGAAACAAGCACAAAUCUUUGUAAGACACGCUCACUUGUCUCCCUAUCCCUUGCAUGUUUCUUAAAGACUGCUCUAAGAUUUUCACCUUCCUGGAUAUCUCAUCUUGCUCCACUAUCUUAGCAGGCUUUUCAGUUUCACCGGGAGGCUCAAAAUGAGGAACGUCAGAGUAUGGAUCCGAGACCUUGAAAGUUGGUUCUGGAGCAUAGUGUUGGGCAUCGGGGACUUUGAACACAGUCUCUCUAGAGGAUCGAGGAAGAGUAGCUGGUGGAGGAGCUACAAAAACAUGAGUGGUCAAAGGAGCGGGAUAUGAGGUGGUUUUGGGGGGUGGAGUGUGAAAAGGUUGUGGGGAGAUAUCAGCAGCAGUGGGAAUCUGGAUUUGUGACAAUGGCGGAAUAGUGAUGAGGCUUUCAGUGUAGUUAGUGGGAAACAAUGGUGGACGCCCACUAAUCUAGGCUUGGUAUAUUUCGUCCAUCUGUCCUUUCAACCUUAGGACCUCUUCUUUCAACUCAGAUUCUCAUUCAACAGUCUCCUUAGGCAGAUCAACAACACAUGUGUCCAAGUCUUUGCUAGACAUGGCUAUCUUGCUCUUUGACCUUGUGUUAUAUGGAUGACUCGCUAGAAUGCCACAAACUAACCACCUUCUGUUAUGAUAACAAUGAAAGUACCAAAGAAGAUCAAAACAAAGACAACAUGUUAGCGUUAGAGCAUUUAUCAUAUAGAAAUAUCACAUUGCGUGCAAUGUACCUAGCAACAAUUAACGGUUCUAAAAUAACUUCGAGGGUCACAAGGUCAUUUGGCAUUAUCCAAAUUUUGUUCAUUUCAAUCUUCUCUUUCCUUUCUUUUCUAGAACUUCUUGGCUUGCUCAUUUUCCUUCCUCUCUUUUCUUUCUUAUUAUCACUAUUUUCUUUCUCUCACCCCUCACGUCCCAAAACUUCAUUCUCUUUUUUUCUUUUUUUUUUUAAUAAUGAUUUGAUCAAACUCUAUGUAGGUUGCUUGCGUAUCAUGUUCCACAUGAAUCAGACCAAGCGUAGUUCUGGAAAAGUAAUGGAUAAAAUAAACUAAAAACAAAAAACUUUUUGGAUUUUUCAUUUAUAACUAUUUUUUUUUCAAAUACAAAUGUGAAGUACGAUGAAAAAAGACUCGAUAAACUCUUACACCACCUAAAAGACUCAAAACUACUAGACAAGACAAGAAAGUAAAAGAAAACAUGAAAAUAGACAAAAAAAUAUAAAAAGUCACUUGAAACAAGCUCCCAAAUGCGAUGGCCCUGGGGUAUCUGUCAUGCUCGAGCUCUGGUACAUGGAUCCAUACCUGAAUGAAAAAAAUAAGACCAAAUAAAGUUAGUGACUCGAGACACUAUGUGAGCCAUAACACCUCCUAUUAGGCACAUGCAAGAUGCGAGUGGGGCUAUUUCUACAAAAUGGCUAACGAGGCCAAAAGGUGACUAGAAGUGAAAACUCAAUUAGGACGACCUCUAAAAUAUGGAAACACCUCACGAAGGCCCAUAAACUCUCAGAAAUCGCGGUCCCUAAAAUUGCUUUGUGAAAAUGACCCAACUUUGCGAAAAUGGCCUAUGUGGCCGAAAAAUGGCUAAGCAUGCAAAUUCAACAGGAAUGAACCUUAGACUGAUAGAACAUCAUGUUGUGGACUUAGGACUCUAAGACAUAGGUUAACAAGCCACUUUGAGAAAAUAGCCCUAUUUUACAAAAACGGCCGAUGUGGUCAAAAGUGGCUAGACAUGCAAGAUUUGGCUAUGACCCUCGAAGACAAGAACUUAAGACUCACUAGGAAGACCGGACCCUAUGUGGGCUGCCUACGUAUCCCGACCCGAAAGACGAGAACCAGUUAUGCGUAGUUCGUGAAGAUUGGAUACGGAAGAAAACUAAAAAAAUAACUAAUUUGGAGAAAACAUAUUUUUGUCUUUUUUGGGAAAUGAUGGGAAAGUGCAAAAUCUUUUUGAAUUUUUUCAUUUUCAUUUUUUUAUUUUUUGGUCUUUUCUUGAAAAGGUUGUGAAAGAAAAGUAUAACUGGGCCCUACUUGCUUCAUUUUUAUACUUCACCUUAUUUUCUUUCUCAUUUACCCUCAACCAACAUUGGCCUGUCAAAUGACCCCUUUAUCCUUAAAGAAUGCAGCAUGUAGCACUUAGGGAUGAUUAAAUAUCUUUUGUGGCCGCGAGCCCAUGUUGACAAAAUUUGGAUAGGCCUCCUACAAAGGGAUACGGCACCUGGGACCAAGCCCUGCUAGGUCUAAAUGAUAUGAUGCAAAUAAGAAUGACCUAAAGGCUGACCAAAGUUUAGGGUUCACUAGACAAGGCAAUUCGGGGGAGCGUAUGGUCGAUGGUGGCUGCUCAAGCUUUCCACCCACUCCAUACGUUCGUGUACGCGACGUGCACUAUGAGACUUGUUGCAGAAAGAAUUGACCGGGUAAUGCAUAUGAUGACAGUUAUAAAGCAGUAACACAUAAAUAAAAAAAAUUGUAAACACAUAAACAGCUAGCAAAUAAUAAAAUGGCAUAAACAAAAUAAAAAUCACAUAAAGUAAAACAUAAAAACCUCAACCGAAUAUUCUAAAAAGCCAACAAGAUCAAGUACCAGCUCGAACCUGCAACUCCCCCGCAGAGUCGCUAAAGCUAUCACACCCUUUUUUUUUCACCUCACUAACCCCACUAUAAAAUAAUAAAACGAUUUUGAAAGCUCAAAAGGGUUUUCAAGUCCUAAAAGUGACAAAGGAUUGUGUUUUAAAGGAUUUUCAGAGUCGCCACCUGACAUUUGAUUUCGGUGUGCCAGGUCACUAUUUUUUAAAUAACAAUUUUCCUUCAAAACAUAUUUUGACUCUUAAACCAAUUACACCAGAAAUUCUAGGUAAGGGAGUUCACUUGACUCGGGGAGAAGGUGUUAGGCAUUCCCCGAGUCCCGUGAAAGUCACGGUUGCGUACUCGAUCUAGUUGGCUUUUAAAAUAUUCAAAUUGAGGUAAAAAAAUAUAGAGAAAGGAAAAUAAACACACAAGAGGCUUGAGGUCGUCCCCACCUAAUAAAAGGAAUAAAAAUAAAAUAAAAUACUAAAGUUCUAUUCUACGCUUCCACGCAUCAUCCAGUCUCUGGCCUUCAUUUACAUGUACUUCGGGGCAUUCUCCGGGUAAAAUUUUUACAAACUCUUCGAGAUAUUUUCCGAAAUAUAAACUAAAGGGAACGACCUCUUACCUCGAAUGAAAUAAAAGACAAGACCUAAAGUUUGCCUACCCGGAUGUGGUCGGCCUAAGCAUGCUCCUAACGAUCAAAUGGGUAUAGCGAAAUAAAGAACUAAUAGAAAUGAUCCAAAGCUCAAAUUGUUUUAACUUUUUCAAUUCUCUGCCAUGACAAUUUUGCCUUAAGGAGUCCAAAUGUGAUUUUGCUCUUUAAAUCAGGCAAACCCCCACGGCCAAUUUAUCAAUUAAACGACAAAAUCCAACAAACCACUAAUUUUAAGCUAUAAGUGAACUAUCAUUCUUUUCUUCCUCUUAAUCAAGUUUAAUGAAUGAUAGGCUAAUGAUCUAACAAUAAUCCUUAAAGCUAAUAAUAAAAGGAAUAUGAAAGCAAUAUGAGUGCCAACCAAAUUAAUACACUGCUUUUGUUUGAUUUCAUCAAAAGUUAAUACACAGAAUUUUAAGAAAGGCAUGAGUAAGAAUCUGACCUUAAAACAACGAGUUUGAACUUUGAUUGCUUGAUGGCUCUAAGACUCAAAAACGAACGGGACCGCGAACAAGAUCUAAACCGAAAACCCUCGCUGGAAACCUCGUCGAACUCUGACCGAAUUGCCUCGCUACCUCCCUUUACUCAGAUCUGAGCGUCCGAGACCUUAAACUCACUGAAAUUCGACCUUUAAUGGUAGUACCUUUUGUCGAUCGAAAGAGUUUUGAAGAUAAGAGUGGAAUCGGAGUUCUGAUGUGAAGUUAACAAUGGGAAGUUAAUGGAGCUAUGGAGGUUGCAUAAUAGUUUUAAUGGCUAUUUUCUAUGGAGAUCGAGUGUAGUUAGGCGGCGGCUCUUCUGAUACUAGGCAUGCUCUGUUUUUUCUCCGUCCUCCUCCCUCUCGUCACUCUCUCUGUCUGCUUCUCCGUAUAUCUCUUACUCUAUUUUGUUUCUGAUUUUACCAUCCUCUUUUUUUUUUUGAGAAGAAGGGGUGUCAGGUGCAGUUCUCCUUCAGCUCUGUGUGUGUGUGCGUGUUUUUCGGCGGAUUUUGGUGGAAAGGGGCU